Molecule: ribosomal RNA, 440 nt
Filed under: uncultured bacterium
Lineage: Bacteria
Description: partial 16S ribosomal RNA
Rfam family: Bacterial small subunit ribosomal RNA
Source: RNAcentral
CCUACGGGUGGCAGCAGUGGGGAAUAUUGCUCAAUGGGGGAAACCCUGAAGCAGCCACGCCGCGUGAGGGAUGGAGGUUUUCUGGUUGGUAACUCCUUUUGUUAAGGGAGUUAAUUACGGUAACUAACGACUCAUGACCUGAUCACUCCGUUCCGGCAGCCGCGGUCAUGCGAAGGGUGCAAGCGUUAAUCGGAAUCCCUGGGCGUGAAGCGGGCGUAGGCGGGAGAGUAAGUCAGAUGUGAAAGCCUAUGGCUUAACCAGAGAAUUGCAGUGGAAACUGGGAGUCUUGAGUAUGGGAGAGGCAGGUGGAAUUCUUGGUGUAGGGGUAAAAUGCGUAGAUAUCAAGAGGAACACCGAUUGCGAAGGCGACCUGCCAGAACAUAACUGACGCUGAUGCGCGAAAGCGUGGGGAGCAAACAGGAUUAGAUACCCUUGUAGUC